This 1415-nucleotide ribosomal RNA is filed under the name Kocuria sp. RNAcentral describes it as "bacterial SSU rRNA". It matches the Rfam family "Bacterial small subunit ribosomal RNA". Lineage: Bacteria; Bacillati; Actinomycetota; Actinomycetes; Micrococcales; Micrococcaceae. The record is from RNAcentral.
CUACACAUGCAGUCGAACGAUGAUGCCCAGCUUGCUGGGCGGAUUAGUGGCGAACGGGUGAGUAAUACGUGAGUAACCUGCCCUUGACUCUGGGAUAAGCCUGGGAAACUGGGUCUAAUACUGGAUACUACCUCUUACCGCAUGGUGGGUGGUGGAAAGGGUUUUACUGGUUUUGGAUGGGCUCACGGCCUAUCAGCUUGUUGGUGGGGUAAUGGCUCACCAAGGCGACGACGGGUAGCCGGCCUGAGAGGGUGACCGGCCACACUGGGACUGAGACACGGCCCAGACUCCUACGGGAGGCAGCAGUGGGGAAUAUUGCACAAUGGGCGGAAGCCUGAUGCAGCGACGCCGCGUGAGGGAUGACGGCCUUCGGGUUGUAAACCUCUUUCAGUAGGGAAGAAGCGAGAGUGACGGUACCUGCAGAAGAAGCGCCGGCUAACUACGUGCCAGCAGCCGCGGUAAUACGUAGGGCGCAAGCGUUGUCCGGAAUUAUUGGGCGUAAAGAGCUCGUAGGCGGUUUGUCGCGUCUGCUGUGAAAGCCCGGGGCUCAACCCCGGGUCUGCAGUGGGUACGGGCAGACUAGAGUGCAGUAGGGGAGACUGGAAAUUCCUGGUGUAGCGGUGAAAUGCGCAGAUAUCAGGAGGAACACCGAUGGCGAAGGCAGGUCUCUGGGCUGUUACUGACGCUGAGGAGCGAAAGCWUGGGGAGCGAACAGGAUUAGAUACCCUGGUAGUCCAUGCCGUAAACGUUGGGCACUAGGUGUGGGGGACAUUCCACGUUUUCCGCGCCGUAGCUAACGCAUUAAGUGCCCCGCCUGGGGAGUACGGCCGCAAGGCUAAAACUCAAAGGAAUUGACGGGGGCCCGCACAASCGGCGGAGCAUGCGGAUUAWUUCGAUGCAWCGCGAAGAACCUUACCAAGGCUUGACAUUCACCGGACCGCCCCAGAGAUGGGGUUUCCCUUCGGGGCUGGUGGACAGGUGGUGCAUGGUUGUCGUCAGCUCGUGUCGUGAGAUGUUGGGUUAAGUCCCGCAACGAGCGCAACCCUCGUUCUAUGUUGCCAGCACGUGAUGGUGGGGACUCAUAGGAGACUGCCGGGGUCAACUCGGAGGAAGGUGGGGAUGACGUCAAAUCAUCAUGCCCCUUAUGUCUUGGGCUUCACGCAUGCUACAAUGGCCGGUACAAAGGGUUGCGAUACUGUGAGGUGGAGCUAAUCCCAAAAAGCCGGUCUCAGUUCGGAUUGAGGUCUGCAACUCGACCUCAUGAAGUCGGAGUCGCUAGUAAUCGCAGAUCAGCAACGCUGCGGUGAAUACGUUCCCGGGCCUUGUACACACCGCCCGUCAAGUCACGAAAGUUGGUAACACCCGAAGCCGGUGGCCUAACCCCUUGUGGGAGGGAGCCGUCGAAGGUGAACCUC